GGAUGUGAGGGCAGUCUGGCUGCCAUAUCUGGCUGCCAUGCCGUUGGUUGACAGGGUAAACUUGACUUAUCUGGCUGGCUAGGUGGGUGUUGCUUUCCUCUCUCGCUGUUCCAGUGUGUCCAUCCUGAAGCCAUGUGCUUAGCUGAAAAAUCACCUUCUCCGAACAGAGGAAGACUGGUCUCCGGUCAAGGGUAGCUUCAUUCCCCUGCUAAACCUCCAAACCUUAUGUUGGAUUUCUGUGAUGCCCCUUUGGUUGAGCACAGAAAGCCUAAAGAACAAGGUCAACCAAGCAUGAAAAGAGACAUAGAUCCAAGUGACUCUU
RNAcentral lists this small nuclear RNA (322 nucleotides) under Meriones unguiculatus (Mongolian gerbil). RNAcentral's name for it is "7SK RNA (ENSMUGG00000021078.1)". It matches the Rfam family "7SK RNA". Rfam says of the family: 7SK was discovered as an abundant small nuclear RNA in the mid-70s but a possible function has only recently been suggested. Two independent studies have found that 7SK RNA binds the CDK9/cyclin T complex (known as elongation factor P-TEFb). Lineage: Eukaryota; Metazoa; Chordata; Mammalia; Rodentia; Muridae. The record is from RNAcentral.